Oncorhynchus tshawytscha (Chinook salmon) is the source of this 1124-nucleotide long non-coding RNA. The record is from Ensembl. Lineage: Eukaryota; Metazoa; Chordata; Actinopteri; Salmoniformes; Salmonidae.
GAAUAAUGUCACUGCAGUAUGUCAGUUUAGAGAGAAUAAUGUCACUGCAGUAUAUCAGAGAGAAUAAUGUUACUGCAGUAUGUCAGUACAGAGAGAAUAAUGUUACUGCAGUAUGUCAGUUCAGAGAGAAUAAUGUCACUGCAGUAUGUCAGAGAGAAUAAUGUCACUGCAGUAUGUCAGCACAGAGAGAAUAAGGUUACUGCAGUAUGUCAGAGAAAAUAAUGUUACUGCAGUAUGUCAGUUCAGAGAGAAUAAUGUUACUGCAGUAUGUCAGCACAGAGAGAAUAAUGUCACUGCAGUAUGUCAGAGAUAAUAAUGUUACUGCAGUAUGUCAGCACAGAGAGAAUAAUGUCACUGCAGUAUUUCAGCACAGAGAGAAUAAUGUCACUGCAGUAUUUCAGAGACAAUAAUGUCACUGCAGUAUGUCAGCACAGAGAGAAUAAUGUCACUGCAGUAUGUCAGCACAGAGAGAAUAGUGUCACUGCAGUAUGUCAGAGAGAAUAAUGUCACUGCAGUAUGUCAGAGAGAAUAAUGUUACUGCAGUAUGUCAGUUCAGAGAGAAUAAUGUCACUGCAGUAUGUCAGCACAGAGAGAAUAAUGUCACUGCAGUAUGUCAGAGAGAAUAAUGUUACUGCAGUAUGUCAGAGAGAAUAAUGUCACUGCAGUAUGUCAGAGAGAAUAAUGUCACUGCAGUAUGUCAGAGAGAAUAAUGUCACUGCAGUAUGUCAGUUCAGAGAGAAUAAUGUCACUGCAGUAUGUCAGAGAGAAUAAUGUUACUGCAGUAUGUCAGUUCAGAGAGAAUAAUGUCACUGCAGUAUGUCAGAGAGAAUAAUGUCACUGCAGUAUAUCAGAGAGAAUAAUGUUACUGCAGUAUGUCAGUACAGAGAGAAUAAUGUCACUGCAGUAUGUCAGUUCAGAGAGAAUAAUGUCACUGCAGUAUGUCAGCACAGAGAGAAUAAUGUCACUGCAGUAUGUCAGAGAGAAUAAUGUUACUGCAGUAUGUCAGUUCAGAGAGAAUAAUGUCACUGCAGUAUGUCAGCACAGAGAGAAUAAUGUCACUGCAGUAUGUCAGAGAGAAUAAUGUUACUGCAGUAUGUCAGUUCAGAGAGAAUAAUGUCACUGCA